UUUGGUUAAGUUAGAAAGGGCGCACGGUGGAUGCCUUGACACUAGGAGUCGAUGAAGGACGGGACUAACGCCGAUAUGCUUCGGGGAGCUGUAAGUAAGCUUUGAUCCGAAG
RNAcentral lists this ribosomal RNA (112 nucleotides) under Bacillus thuringiensis. Its description in RNAcentral is "partial 23S ribosomal RNA". It matches the Rfam family "Bacterial large subunit ribosomal RNA", at positions 1 to 109 of the family's 2925-position model. The record is from RNAcentral. Lineage: Bacteria; Bacillati; Bacillota; Bacilli; Caryophanales; Bacillaceae.